AGAAUAUAAGAAUCCGAUUCUUAAUUUUUAACUGAAAAAGUUAAGAGUCGGUUCUUAAAUCUCGCCGAUUCUUAGCAUUUUCAGUUAAAAAUUAAGAGUCGGAUUUUUAUAUUUC
This 115-nucleotide microRNA precursor is filed under the name Brassica napus (rape). RNAcentral describes it as "MIR9563 microRNA precursor family". It matches the Rfam family "MIR9563 microRNA precursor family". Lineage: Eukaryota; Viridiplantae; Streptophyta; Magnoliopsida; Brassicales; Brassicaceae. The record is from Rfam by way of RNAcentral.